UUACUCAUUUCGCUUUAAAAUAAACUAUUUGCAAUCUUGUAACUAGCAGUAGUAAUUUAAGAUAAUUGGCCAGUGAUGUAAUAGUGGCUUGAAAGAUAGUAUAUCAUUAGAAGUAUGAACAAAUUGACAAAAUUAUCUCAGUAAUUAAACACAAGAUCUUGUGGGUUUUACAUUCAUAUGUAUUGCUAUUCAGUUGACCAAAUCUUGGCUAAUAGAGCUUCAAGUUGAGAAAGGUCACAGAUGUUGGUAAACAUUCCAUUAAAGGGUUAACUGUCUAAAUUAGUCCACAAGUCAGUUGCUCCGCGUUCGCCAUGAAGCCGGAACUGCAGAUGUUCUUUCUUGUCACCUUGGUCUCAGUUGGUAUCUUCUCCAACUUGAGGACUUCCACAGCUCUCCCAGAGGCCCUGCCCAGCCCACCAACACAGGCUGCUCGGAAUAUCUCAGACUUAUGGACUCGUCUUCAGGCCGCCCGUACUAAUACCCACACUGCAGAACUCAUUCGUGUACCAAAAAGGUCUUGUAGACCUGGAGAGAGAUUUGCAUAUGGCAGAUGUCGCCGCCAGUGGUGAUGAUUACACACAAGAUUAUAAAUUUUGCACCGAUGACACUAGGUAGCAGUAGGUUACUUUAUUACUAUGAUAUGUAACUAAACAAUAUUUUAACUGUUUAUUGGAUUGUAAUCAAAGUAUAAUAUUUAACUAUGAUAUAUUGUACUAUUUGAACACAAAUAUGUAUUAAAAGUUUGUUAUUAUUA
RNAcentral lists this long non-coding RNA (754 nucleotides) under Homalodisca vitripennis (glassy-winged sharpshooter). Its description in RNAcentral is "uncharacterized LOC124362095, transcript variant X1". The record is from RNAcentral. Lineage: Eukaryota; Metazoa; Arthropoda; Insecta; Hemiptera; Cicadellidae.